Molecule: ribosomal RNA, 253 nt
Filed under: uncultured bacterium
Lineage: Bacteria
Description: partial 16S ribosomal RNA
Rfam family: Bacterial small subunit ribosomal RNA
Source: RNAcentral
UACGAAGGGGGCUAGCGUUGUUCGGAAUUACUGGGCGUAAAGCGCACGUAGGCGGACAUGUAAGUUGGGGGUGAAAUCCCGGGGCUCAACCCCGGAAUUGCCUUCAAGACUGCAAGUCUGGAGGUCAGGAGAGGCGAGCGGUAUUUCGAGUGUAGAGGUGAAAUUCGUAGAUAUUCGGAGGAACACCAGUGGCGAAGGCGGCUCGCUGGACUGAUACUGACGCUGAGGUGCGAAAGCGUGGGGAGCAAACAGG